RNAcentral lists this transfer RNA (68 nucleotides) under Pteromys volans (Siberian flying squirrel). RNAcentral's name for it is "tRNA-Val". It matches the Rfam family "tRNA". Rfam says of the family: Transfer RNA (tRNA) molecules are approximately 80 nucleotides in length. The record is from RNAcentral. Lineage: Eukaryota; Metazoa; Chordata; Mammalia; Rodentia; Sciuridae.
CAAAAUGUAGCUUAUAACCUAAAGCACUCGGCUUACACCCGAAAGAUUUCAUUAAUUGGACAUUUUGA